Long non-coding RNA from Rhagoletis pomonella (apple maggot), 664 nucleotides. RefSeq lists it as uncharacterized. Lineage: Eukaryota; Metazoa; Arthropoda; Insecta; Diptera; Tephritidae. The transcript is spliced from 5 exons. The record is from RefSeq and is a predicted model, not a curated record.
AUGUUAAACCGGCACAACGCUUGAGCAAGGUCGUGGCCGAUUUAAUUUGUUGGAAUGAGAAAUAAAGCAAAAACGUUACCUUUGAUUUGACUCAGGAACACAAUGGCUGGAACACGUCCUCUUGGAUUCACUCUCGGAAAACAAAAUGUGCAGCACAGGACAUGGAUUAACGCAUCGAAGGAAUGGUGUUGCAGAUGCAGCCAGGAUGGCCGGCAAUAUGCGCUAUCCACAAUGCCCAGUGGAAGGUGAAUUCUUUGAAGCAGAACCAGCCACCAUACGACCAAAGAAAAAAGAUCGGAAGAGCCGAAAGGGAAAAAGGGGGUGUCGGUGUUCGUGUGUGUGUUUUUGCUGUUGUUACUGGAAGCUCCUUUGGUUGCUUUGUGCAAAAAUUUUGUAGCUGCUGCUGCAAUGUACGGCUGCUUCAGAUAGGCUCAAAUUGGAAUCCUCGGAUUGGCUCAAAAAGCUGGGCGCUGGCAAGUGGAAAAUGUUACGGCGUUGAAGGACCAGUAUGUUAAACCGGCACAACGCUUGAGCAAGGUCGUGGCCGAUUUAAUUUGUUGGAAUGAGAAAUAAAGCAAAAACGUUACCUUUGAUUUGACUCAGGAACACAAUGGCUGGAACACGUCCUCUUGGAUUCACUCUCGGAAAACAAGUAAGUGACCGG